CGUGAUGGGACUAACCGUCUGUCGCUGGGAAGAAGCUUAACUUGGGGGAAACUGCCACGAAAAUAAAACUUUAAUAUAAGUUUGCCUUUCUUUAAUUUUGUUAUUUUAGAAAUUUAAAUUAUUAAUUUAAUUUUUUCCUAGUCCCUUAUCCUAAAGAUGAGGAGACAUAGGUAGGUAGUUUUUAUUUAUAUAUUGUUAUUUUAGUAUAAAAAAUAAUAAUUUUUGGGGUAAAAAAACACUUAUAUUAAGCUAUUUAGUAUCUGUUAACCCAUUUAAGUAACAUCUCAAAAGUCAUAGCAAGGUAGCUUGUACUGGG
Molecule: ribosomal RNA, 316 nt
Filed under: Pleurotus sp. PLHP-4
Lineage: Eukaryota; Fungi; Basidiomycota; Agaricomycetes; Agaricales; Pleurotaceae
Description: partial small subunit ribosomal RNA
Source: RNAcentral